GCCUAUAGAAUGUUAAGUGUCUUCAAUAUUCUAAUGAAGGUUGAUUAAUUAAAAAUAGUUGUUAUCUUAUUUUCCACUUUAUUUUCCACAGAAGAUACUAAGGAUUUCCUUAAAGGAACUUAAAAUGUUUCGUUUGAGAAACACUGCACUAAACCAUUUUUUUACAUUUGAGGUUAGAUAAAGCAGCAAGGAAAAAAAAAUCGGUGGGCACACCUGAACAAGAGACCGAUCUUGAGCUACUUAGCCUUCCUCCUGGAUUGCUGUAGUGUUCUGCUGUGAGUCUCGCAAAGCUACUCUGAAGCUUCAUCUGACACAACGUGAUCAUCUGCCUGUUUAGAGCAUAAAAGGACGUUUGAACAGACUGUAUCCAGAGUGAAUACAGAGAAACACGACUCUCCCUUGAAUGUUCUGCUCACUCAGAGGAGUUCACCUGAACACCUUAAUAUUCUGAAGAGUCAUGAGAAAGAUACCAUCUUUUUCCUGCAGAGCUGUGAAAAAGGAUGCAAUAUCUGCCCUUCAGUGUUCAGUAUGCAUCACACUUCAAAAAAACCUCUAGUAUGAUCCUGACA
Molecule: long non-coding RNA, 569 nt
Filed under: Dromaius novaehollandiae (emu)
Lineage: Eukaryota; Metazoa; Chordata; Aves; Casuariiformes; Dromaiidae
Description: lncRNA (ENSDNVG00000011662.1)
Source: RNAcentral